GAUGAACGCUGGCGGCGUGCCUAAUACAUGCAAGUCGAGCGAACGGACGAGAAGCUUGCUUCUCUGAUGUUAGCGGCGGACGGGUGAGUAACACGUGGAUAACCUACCUAUAAGACUGGGAUAACUUCGGGAAACCGGAGCUAAUACCGGAUGAUAUUUUGAACCGCAUGGUUCAAAAGUGAAAGACGGUCUUGCUGUCACUUAUAGAUGGAUCCGCGCUGCAUUACAUAGUUGGUAAGGUAACGGCUUACCAAGGCAACGAUGCAUAGCCGACCUGAGAGGGUGAUCGGCCACACUGGAACUGAGACACGGUCCAGACUCCUACGGGAGGCAGCAGUAGGGAAUCUUCCGCAAUGGGCGAAAGCCUGACGGAGCAACGCCGCGUGAGUGAUGAAGGUCUUCGGAUCGUAAAACUCUGUUAUUAGGGAAGAACAUAUGUGUAAGUAACUGUGCACAUCUUGACGGUACCUAAUCAGAAAGCCACGGCUAACUACGUG
RNAcentral lists this ribosomal RNA (497 nucleotides) under uncultured bacterium. RNAcentral describes it as "partial 16S ribosomal RNA". It matches the Rfam family "Bacterial small subunit ribosomal RNA", at positions 28 to 507 of the family's 1533-position model. The record is from RNAcentral.